RNAcentral lists this ribosomal RNA (231 nucleotides) under uncultured bacterium. Its description in RNAcentral is "partial 16S ribosomal RNA". It matches the Rfam family "Bacterial small subunit ribosomal RNA", at positions 335 to 564 of the family's 1533-position model. The record is from RNAcentral.
UCUCCUACGGGGGGCAGCAGUGAGGAAUAUUGGUCAAUGGGCGGGAGCCUGAACCAGCCAAGCCGCGUGAGGGAAGAAGGUACAGCGUAUCGUAAACCUCUUUUGUCAGGGAACAAACCCGGGACGAGUCCCGGACUGCGUGUAUCCGAAGAAAAAGCAUCGGCUAACUCCGUGCCAGCAGCCGCGGUAAUACGGAGGAUGCGAGCGUUAUCCGGAUUUAUUGGGUUUAAA